This 64-nucleotide transfer RNA is filed under the name Mycobacterium marinum. RNAcentral's name for it is "tRNA-OTHER". Lineage: Bacteria; Bacillati; Actinomycetota; Actinomycetes; Mycobacteriales; Mycobacteriaceae. The record is from RNAcentral.
UUGAACAACAGCAUGAUUCGCCUUUGCAAGGCGGGUGUCAGGGGUUCGAUUCCCCUAGGCUCCA